CAGAGAGGCAUGUUCAGGGAAUGCGGGAGCACAGAGAAGACUCGCCAUUCCCAGGCCUGGGAGUGGGGUGCCGGGAGAGGGAGAGAGGAUGCUUCUUGUGGAGAUGGCUUCUUAGUUCACUCUGAGAAGACGAGGAUCAUUCUAAUCAGAGUGGCAGUAUGGAAGAUGAUUUUCAAAGCUCCCGGGGACAAAAGGAAGAUAUCCGGAAGCCACUGAUGCUGUGUUCUUCAACGAAGCCCCCAAGAAUCAUGCCGGUCCUGAUCAUUCUGCAAAAUAUUUAAAUAUAGAGGAAUGAAUGAAUAUGUCAGCAAAAACAAGUACUUCCCCCAUUUGUUUCAAAGUCUGAAAAACCCUAAUAAAAGCCAAAUAAUAAAGUCCAGUUCUUUCCCUAUUACAUUGCCUUCUGCAAAAUGCACUGAAGAAUAUUUUUAAUUUUUUGACUGGUCAAAUGGCCUCCACUUGAGCCCUUGAGGGUGGAGUCUGAAGAACUCUUCUGUUGCUCCUGGGCCAGGUGGUGUCAGCUACAAACUUCACUCUGCAGGGUUUCCCCCUAUUUCUUCUUAUUUUGGCUUUAAUUUCUAUUUUUUGAAAGAGAAAUGAUUAAUCUAUUUCAGAUU
RNAcentral lists this long non-coding RNA (617 nucleotides) under Chinchilla lanigera (long-tailed chinchilla). Its description in RNAcentral is "lncRNA (ENSCLAG00000026177.1)". The record is from RNAcentral. Lineage: Eukaryota; Metazoa; Chordata; Mammalia; Rodentia; Chinchillidae.